GGCAGAUUGCCCGAGCGGCCAAUGGGAGCGGACUGUAAAUCCGUCGGUUNNAGGUUCGAAUCCUUCAUCUGCCA
RNAcentral lists this transfer RNA (74 nucleotides) under Actinomycetota bacterium. RNAcentral's name for it is "Actinobacteria bacterium (hydrocarbon metagenome) tRNA-Tyr". It matches the Rfam family "tRNA". Rfam says of the family: Transfer RNA (tRNA) molecules are approximately 80 nucleotides in length. Their secondary structure includes four short double-helical elements and three loops (D, anti-codon, and T loops). The record is from RNAcentral. Lineage: Bacteria; Bacillati; Actinomycetota.